ACUCAAUAGAUACCCAGGUAGUCCCAGCAGUAAACGGUGCGCGUUUGGUGUGAGCAGAUUCGACUCUGUUCGCGCCGGAGCUAACGCGUUAAACGCGCCGCCUGGGAAGUACGAUCGCAAGAUUAAAACUCAAAGAAAUUGACGGGGGCCCGCACAAGCGGUGGAGUAUGUGGCUUAAUUCGAUGCAACGCGAAGAACCUUACCUGGGUUUGACAUGCAUCUCUAAGGAGGUGAAAGCUUCCGAGGGUAGCAAUACCCGAUUUGCACAGGUGCUGCAUGGCUGUCGUCAGCUCGUGUCGUGAGAUGUUGGGUUUAAGUCCCGCAACGAGCGCAACCCUUGUAUGCUGUUGCUAUGCUUACGCAUAGCUCUCUGCGUAGACUGCCCCGUGAAACGGGGAGGAAGGUGGGAUGACGUCAAGUCAGCAUGGCCCUUACACCCAGGGCUGCACACGUACUACAAUGCUCAGUACAAUUAGAACCUG
This 482-nucleotide ribosomal RNA is filed under the name uncultured bacterium. RNAcentral's name for it is "bacterial SSU rRNA". It matches the Rfam family "Bacterial small subunit ribosomal RNA", at positions 772 to 1252 of the family's 1533-position model. The record is from RNAcentral.